AACGAACGCUGGCGGCAUGCCUAACACAUGCAAGUCGAACGAGACCUUCGGGUCUAGUGGCGCACGGGUGCGUAACGCGUGGGAACCUGCCCUUAGGUUCGGAAUAACUCCCCGAAAGGGGUGCUAAUACCGGAUAAUGUCUUCGGACCAAAGAUUUAUCGCCUUUGGAUGGGCCCGCGUUGGAUUAGCUAGUUGGUAGGGUAAAAGCCUACCAAGGCGACGAUCCAUAGCUGGUCUGAGAGGAUGAUCAACCACACUGGGACUGAGACACGGCCCGGACUCCUACGGGAGGCAGCAGUGGGGAAUAUUGGACAAUGGGCGAAAGCCUGAUCCAGCAAUGCCGCGUGAGUGAUGAAGGCCUUAGGGUUGUAAAGCUCUUUUACCCGGGAUGAUAAUGACAGUACCGGGAGAAUAAGCUCCGGCUAACUCCGUG
RNAcentral lists this ribosomal RNA (433 nucleotides) under uncultured bacterium. Its description in RNAcentral is "partial 16S ribosomal RNA". It matches the Rfam family "Bacterial small subunit ribosomal RNA", at positions 29 to 507 of the family's 1533-position model. The record is from RNAcentral.